This 254-nucleotide ribosomal RNA is filed under the name uncultured bacterium. Its description in RNAcentral is "partial 16S ribosomal RNA". It matches the Rfam family "Bacterial small subunit ribosomal RNA", at positions 524 to 776 of the family's 1533-position model. The record is from RNAcentral.
CACGUAGGGGGCAAGCGUUGUCCGGAUUUAUUGGGCGUAAAGAGCUCGUAGGCGGCUCAGUAAGUCGGGUGUGAAACCUCCAGGCUCAACCUGGAGACGCCACCCGAUACUGCUGUGGCUUGAGUCCGGUAGGGGAGCGUGGAAUUCCUGGUGUAGCGGUGAAAUGCGCAGAUAUCAGGAGGAACACCAGUGGCGAAGGCGGCUCACUGGCCCGAUACUGACGCUGAGGAGCGAAAGCCAGGGGAGCAAACAGG